GAUGAACGCUGGCGGCGUGCCUCAAACAUGCAAGUCGAGCGGGGCUAUGUAAUAUCGCAAGGUAGAACAUAGCCUAGCGGCGAACGGGUGCGUAACACGUGGGUAACCUGCCUGGAAGACAGGGAUAACGAUUCGAAAGGGCCGCUAAUACCUGAUAAUAUCCUUUCAUCGCAUGGUGAUAGGAAGAAAGGGGAAACCCGCUUUCAGAUGGGCCCGCGUCCCAUCAGCUAGUUGGUAAGGUAAAGGCUUACCAAGGCGACGACGGGUAGCCGGUCUGAGAGGAUGUACGGCCACACUGGGACUGAGAUACGGCCCAGACUCCUACGGGAGGCAGCAGUUGGGAAUCUUAGGCAAUGGAACGAAAGUCUGACCUAGCGACGCCGCGUGAGGGAAGAAGGCCUUCGGGUUGUAACCUCUGUCGAGUGGGGAAGAAGUAGUGACGGUACCCAAGAGAACGCCCUGACUAACUACGUGCCAGCCCCCCGGCCGGUAAUACCACAUAGUAGU
This 507-nucleotide ribosomal RNA is filed under the name uncultured bacterium. RNAcentral describes it as "bacterial SSU rRNA". It matches the Rfam family "Bacterial small subunit ribosomal RNA", at positions 28 to 534 of the family's 1533-position model. The record is from RNAcentral.